This 498-nucleotide ribosomal RNA is filed under the name uncultured bacterium. RNAcentral describes it as "partial 16S ribosomal RNA". It matches the Rfam family "Bacterial small subunit ribosomal RNA", at positions 28 to 507 of the family's 1533-position model. The record is from RNAcentral.
GACGAACGCUGGCGGCGUGCCUAAUACAUGCAAGUCGAGCGGACGGAUGGGAGCUUGCUCCCAGACCGUCAGCGGCGGACGGGUGAGUAACACGUGGGCAACCUGCCUGUAAGACUGGGAUAACUCCGGGAAACCGGGGCUAAUACCGGAUAACUCUUUCCCUCACCUGAGGGAAAGCUGAAAGAUGGCAUCUCGCUAUCACUUACAGAUGGGCCCGCGGCGCAUUAGCUAGUUGGUGAGGUAACGGCUCACCAAGGCGACGAUGCGUAGCCGACCUGAGAGGGUGAUCGGCCACACUGGAACUGAGACACGGCCCAGACUCCUACGGGAGGCAGCAGUAGGGAAUCUUCCGCAAUGGACGAAAGUCUGACGGAGCAACGCCGCGUGAGUGAUGAAGGUUUUCGGAUCGUAAAACUCUGUUGUCAGGGAAGAACAAGUACCGGAGUAACUGCCGGUACCUUGACGGUACCUGACCAGAAAGCCACGGCUAACUACGUG